AACGAACGCUGGCGGCAGGCCUAACACAUGCAAGUCGAGCGAGAUCUUCGGGUCUAGCGGCGGACGGGUGAGUAACGCGUGGGAAUAUGCCUCUUGGUACGGAAUAGCCUCGGGAAACUGGGAGUAAUACCGUAUGUGCCCUUUGGGGGAAAGAUUUAUCGCCAAGAGAUUAGCCCGCGUUGGAUUAGGUAGUUGGUGGGGUAAUGGCCUACCAAGCCGACGAUCCAUAGCUGGUUUGAGAGGAUGAUCAGCCACACUGGGACUGAGACACGGCCCAGACUCCUAGGGGGGGCAGCAGGGGGGAAUCUUAGAAAAUGGGGGCAACCCUGAUCCACCCAUGCCGGGUGAGUGAUGAAGGCCUUGGGGUUUUAAAGCUCUUUCAGCGGGGAAGAUAAGGACGGUACCAGCAGAAGGAGCCCCGGCUAACCCCGG
RNAcentral lists this ribosomal RNA (432 nucleotides) under uncultured bacterium. RNAcentral describes it as "partial 16S ribosomal RNA". It matches the Rfam family "Bacterial small subunit ribosomal RNA", at positions 29 to 506 of the family's 1533-position model. The record is from RNAcentral.